RNAcentral lists this ribosomal RNA (253 nucleotides) under uncultured bacterium. Its description in RNAcentral is "partial 16S ribosomal RNA". It matches the Rfam family "Bacterial small subunit ribosomal RNA", at positions 524 to 776 of the family's 1533-position model. The record is from RNAcentral.
UACGUAGGGGGCAAGCGUUGUCCGGAUUUACUGGGCGUAAAGAGCGCGCAGGCGGUCGUUCAAGUCGAGUGUGAAAGCCCCCGGCUCAACUGGGGAGGGUCACUCGAUACUGAUCGACUCGAAGGCAGGAGAGGGUAGUGGAAUUCCCGGUGUAGUGGUGAAAUGCGUAGAUAUCGGGAGGAACACCAGUGGCGAAGGCGACUACCUGGCCUGUUCUUGACGCUGAGGCGCGAAAGCUAGGGGAGCAAACGGG